Non-coding RNA from Chiloscyllium plagiosum (whitespotted bambooshark), 557 nucleotides. The record is from RefSeq and is a predicted model, not a curated record. Lineage: Eukaryota; Metazoa; Chordata; Chondrichthyes; Orectolobiformes; Hemiscylliidae.
CCUGAUUGAAGAGCUCGGCUUGCUGUCAGCUCGGAGUUUGCAUUCUGCAGAGGCUGUCUUGUUUGUGGCUUGUCAGCAAUUGCUUGCGACAAGGUUCUUUGCCAUGUGUGAAAGCAACUUGGCAUGAAUGCAGGGCUGUACCAUGUCUCACACCCUGAUGGGGGUCGGGGGAGGGGGGGAAGGAAAGGAUCAGUCCAGAACAGAUAAUAGGCCACAAAGUAUUCCCCCAAAAUUGCUUUGAUAUUGCCCCAGUGUCUUAAUGUUAAGGGGGCCAGAGUUUGUGAGAAAGGGGUCUUGGUGUUAAUUUUCUCAGCUGCACUGAACCUGAAGUAAUCAUUGAAACAGAAGGGAAGGUCAUUAAUAAAGCAGCUGAAGAAGGUUGGGACUAGGACAUGACUUGAGAGAUCUGAAGCUAAGACCUGCAGCAAAGAUAUCAAUCUUUCUUUUCACCAGGUUUAUCAUUCCUACUCAACAAAAUGCUGGCAGUUUCAAAUUGAAAACGUGAAGAAUUACCUGUGAAACACGCUGGGAUGUUCCAAGGAUGUGAAAAACACGAU